RNAcentral lists this non-coding RNA (130 nucleotides) under Streptomyces tsukubensis. Its description in RNAcentral is "Streptomyces tsukubaensis Streptomyces RNA 5676". It matches the Rfam family "Streptomyces RNA 5676". From Rfam's summary of the family: Identified by deep sequencing of transcriptome at the end of exponential growth phase. Appears longer on northern blot than sequencing transcript. This indicates processing step. Lineage: Bacteria; Bacillati; Actinomycetota; Actinomycetes; Kitasatosporales; Streptomycetaceae. The record is from Rfam by way of RNAcentral.
AGAUGAGAGAAACACCCCGCCCGCAGGGGACUGCGGACGACGCCUGGACGAAGCCUCCCCAGUUUCGUCUCGGUUGUGCCUUCGCGCACACAGCCGGAGCUUCUGGCUCCGGAAAUCCUCACCGAUCGGA